Molecule: small RNA, 544 nt
Filed under: Scopulariopsis stercoraria
Lineage: Eukaryota; Fungi; Ascomycota; Sordariomycetes; Microascales; Microascaceae
Description: eukaryotic LSU rRNA
Rfam family: Eukaryotic large subunit ribosomal RNA
Source: RNAcentral
GCGGAGGAAAAGAAACCAACAGGGAUUGCCUUAGUAACGGCGAGUGAAGCGGCAACAGCUCAAAUUUGAAAUCUGGUCCCCUUUGGGGGCCCGAGUUGUAAUUUGAAGAGGAUGCUUUUGGCGAGGCGCCGUCCGAGUUCCCUGGAACGGGACGCCGCAGAGGGUGAGAGCCCCGUACGGUCGGACGCCGAGCCUCUGUAAAGCUCCUUCGACGAGUCGAGUAGUUUGGGAAUGCUGCUCAAAAUGGGAGGUAAACCCCUUCUAAAGCUAAAUACUGGCCAGAGACCGAUAGCGCACAAGUAGAGUGAUCGAAAGAUGAAAAGCACUUUGAAAAGAGAGUUAAAAAGCACGUGAAAUUGUUAAAAGGGAAGCGCUUGCGACCAGACUUGCGCCCGUCGGAUCAACCGUCGCUUGCGGCGGCGCACUCCGGCGGGCUCAGGCCAGCAUCAGUUCGUCCGGGGGGAGAAAGGCGGCGGGAAUGUGGCUCUUCGGAGUGUUAUAGCCCGCCGUGUAAUACCCUCGGGUGGACUGAGGACCGCGCGUA